GGUUGGCUUGAUUAAUUUUUUCACCUCUAAUCUGAGCCCUCUGUAUAAAUGAAACGUGUGUUUUUCUGUUUCAGAUAAACUUCAACAUUUCCCUUCAUUCAUCUUCUAUCUACCAACACGAUAUCGGUGUAGCUAUUCGUUGUCGUUUCCCCUUGGGUCGGAUUCCGAUCUACAGGUCGAUGGUGCUCUUCCUAGGAUACGUAUUCGAAGCGCGGUGUCACUGAUCUACCUACCGUACAGAGUUGUGAUGAUCGUGUCUGAGUUGCUUUUAAGGUUUCUUUCAAAAAAUCGUUCGAUCAAUAAUCGGAGAUUGCAGCGCAGAUCUAGAGAAGAAAGCGGAGUCACGUUCUUCGCAUUCCAAUGUCGGUGGUGCAUGUUGUGGUAUUGAAACAAUGAUGUGAGGGCUGGUUUUUAAGGGGGAAACUAUUAUGUUGUGUGGGUUUUAUAAAACAACGAAGGUUCAGGUGAACUUUGUUAACCGACCUUUGGCAUGACAGGUGCGCUUGCAUGGCAAGUCAAAAUAAUUAAUAAAAAAAACUUUUUUUUUUGGGUUUUCAGGGAGAUCCCACGGGAAUUCUCGGCUUCUCCCUCUGGUGUGAUGUUCUCCUUUUCCUUUUUCUUUAUUACCUAACUAUUAUUCUGCUGCUACUCUUCUUUCCACAGAUACAUCACAGGACUCACAUUUCUCUUCGAUCUAAUGAGGUAUCAUCUGUGUCAUAAACAAAUAAAGGAACUUUUAUGUUAAGGUGCUUUUAAUUUGGUCAAUUCGUAAUUUGUUGACAAUUGGACACAAAAUUAGACUCACAAACACACACUCACUUACACAGCGGAAGAUAAAAUGAGAGAGCAAGUAAAUUCUACACAAACUCAUUCACACACAAGGGAGGAAGAGACUUGAAUUUCUCAAACUAAAAUUGAUUUUACUCAUACUCCAAAUGUUACAUGAUGGUGGCCUUUUAUAGGCAAGCAAAUGGUUGUGCAACAAAAAAUAAUGACAGUGUAAUCCAAUUAACUACUAGUAGUUUCGACAUAAUUGAAGUGGUAUUGAUUCAAAUAUUUUAGGAAUGCUGCUUAUUGACAAAGGUUCCUUAAUGCUUAGUCAUGUUCUUCAAUAAUUGCGCAUUGAAAGAAUGUAUAUUUAUCCGAAGUAUCUAAACUAACAGCUUGUAUGAUAGAUUCAUGGCGGGAACAUUGAUCCUUCUAUUGAUUUAAUUACAAAUAUUGAUAUUUCUGAGGGGUUUUUUUAAAGAGUUAUCGCUCCUGCGUCGUGUCCCCUCUUCUUUGACCCAUUGAGUUCCUUACUUAUUUCACUCAUAAAAUUUUUGAAAUAUUACUCAAAUGUACCUGCAACUGUGUCUGCAUGUGCGUGUGUCACUACCAUUCUCUCGGGAGAACAAACCACCUUUUCUUGUUUUUUCCAGCAUUCCAAUUUCCCACGAAUUGUGUAGAUUUCUCUGCAGAUAUCUUCUUGUGAAGCCUCUGCUACUAGAAGUGCAAACAGUAACUGUACCAUGUAUUGCAGAGAUCUUCCUGAGCUUAUCUGUACAGGAAAUACAAGGUCUCAGGUCUGCAAAAGGCCAAGUCCAAGUGAAUGUUUUGUAGGUUCUUAUUCAUCUUGAGGUAGCUUUCUCAUAUUUGACUGAAUGAAGUUCCUUAUUGAUAUGAUAAAUUAUGCUUCAGCUUGUGAAAUAACCAUGUAUUUUCCGUUGGUUUAGUUUUGUUGUAUUAUGAAAUGGGAUUCAUUUCAUUUAAAAAAAUAACAGUUUCUCUUUUGGUUUAUCCAACUAACAAAAUAACUACAUUAAUGAAAGCAAGUAAUUUGUAUAUGAGAACUGAAUAAAAGGGAAGUUUAUAUGUUUGAGUGCUUUAGAUUUGGUUAAUUUGUAAUUGAAGUGGUAUUAAUUUCAAUUUUUUGGGAGAGAUUGCUUUUAUUCUCUUCUCAUAAUAGUGGUAUGAAUUGGCAGACUUGCAUAAUGCUUACUUUGCUUAAUUAGUGGAGUUCUUCAACAAUUCUGUAUAGAAAACAUAGGAAUUCAGUGGUUUUCAAUAACCAGAUUUUCAGCCCCGAAAAAGUCAUGGACGAAGCUCUGUUCCACACUUGGUCUUGGCUAAAAUGCAUGGACAAAGACUUUGAUAUGCAUUUCAACCAGUGGUCUUCUAACUUGAAGGAGCAGCUGUCUUAGGGGGGUUAUGUCUCUGUUGUUUUUGCUUUGUGUCUAUCUUUAUGUUGGUUGGGUUAGGCAACUUGCCUUAUAUAUUUGUAUCCUAUUUCCAGUACACCUAGUACUGACUUAUAUAUAAUAAUAUCUGAUUUUUGCUGUGCAAAAAAAAAAAAAAACAGGAAUCUAACAGCUUGUAUGAUAGAUUCAUAAGGAUUGGCUAGUAGAGCCGCCACUUCAAGUUAACACUUGUUCGGUAUUUGUCUCAAUUGUUUAGUUAUUUUUCUUGAUCA
Molecule: long non-coding RNA, 2452 nt
Organism: Glycine soja
Lineage: Eukaryota; Viridiplantae; Streptophyta; Magnoliopsida; Fabales; Fabaceae
Exons: 2
Source: RefSeq, a predicted model, not a curated record